Hemiscyllium ocellatum (epaulette shark) is the source of this 385-nucleotide long non-coding RNA. RefSeq lists it as uncharacterized. The record is from RefSeq and is a predicted model, not a curated record. The transcript is spliced from 3 exons. NCBI's taxonomy places the organism in Eukaryota, Metazoa, Chordata, Chondrichthyes, Orectolobiformes, Hemiscylliidae.
GGGGGGGGGGGACGGUGUAGAGGGAGUUUAACGCUGUCUCUCCCCCUUUCAGGAAUGGCCAGUUUUCCGUCUUUGACCACGCUCACUCCCGGAACGUGGUGGUGGAGGACGGCAGGGUGCGAGGCAUGAGUGGCGGACAUUACCACUUCCACCUCUGCCUGACCCAGAACCACCGCGGGGAGUACAGGGAGUUAGUCCUGAGAGCGCAGACCCUGAGCCAGAAGCUAAGGUGGAUCUCGUGUCUCAGUCACAUCCAACAGGAAAUCGAUCUCACACAACACUACGACUCCCGCCAGGUACAGUGUGUAAAACCCUACCGCGCUGUGGAAUAUGAUGAACUGACCCUGGAGAAAGCUGAUGUCCUCCUGGUCCUACAGAGAAGUGG